UUUACAUUUGAUUAAUUAACAUUGACAAAAAUUAAUGAGUACUGUAACAAAUAUAUUGCUCAUAGUUAAUGCGUUAACUAAUAUUAACUAAUCUUACUUUAUUGUAAAUGGUUACCAAAGUAAGAACAAACACUAGACACAAUUUGGUGAAAAACAUGAAUUUAUAUAAUAAUCUUAAUUAAUAUUGAUAUUAUAAUAAACUUGUUAUUGGGAAUGGCCAUGACUGCUUUUAGAUGCCCUUUUUAUAUUUUGUGCAUUUCUACAUUUUGUGAUAAUCCUAUUUUGGGAUUCAGUUUCAUUUUUCAGCACAAUUAAAUGAAAAAAAAAAGCAUUGUGUCUGCAGGAAAUAAAUUGCACCGUAUUGAAGCUUUACUCCGGGUUCAGGCGAAUGAUACACUCUCUUAGUCAUUUGCCAGGCAGUUAGCGGGCAGGGUGUGCCAGACGUGUCCCUAAGCAGUGGGACUUGGCUGGGCUGCCAGCUGCCCCCGCAGGCCCCACGAUGCAGACCUGCCCAAGGUGAGAUGAACUCAUCUUGAGAGAGCUGACUGGCACAGGCAUGCUCUGCUGGCCAGAGAACAGGCAGGUGUCCCCAUCCCAUUCCCGUCUUCCUCACUUCUCAUGCCCAACGAAGUGCAGCAAGCUCUGACGGAUAUCCUGUCUGCUCUCCCUUUUGAGCUUAGUCUCUCUCUCUUUCUCUGGCUCCUGUGCGCUCGCUCGCUUUCUUUUUUCCCAGCCCCAUCACUUAUUCAUGGAACAGGUUCAACUCCCAGCACUGAUGUCUGGAAACGACGCGUGGACACAGAAGUGACAGUGGGUGGUUUCGAGAGUGGCCAGCGUGGAUAAUAGCAGCCGGGCAAUGGAGCAGCAUAACAAAAAGGAGAGCCAGAACAAAGCCCGACAAUUACAGUAAGAAAGAAUUCAUCGCUGUGGGGCAAGGUGGACAGCACAGAGCCACGCUCAUCUUACACGGCUCUCACACAGACUGGCAAAAGGCAUCCAGCCCAUCAGGAGCCUCUGAGAGGAAACAGGAUGGGGAAUUCCAAACAAAGAGACAGGCAGACAACGAGUUGCUGGCCGCUCCAUUAUGGCCUUGUUUGCUCCUUGUAUGCAGGAUCAUCCAUACAAUAAAAGCGAAAUUAAAAGUUCUCAGAUGUGCGGCACUGUUGGCACAUGCUGCUAGCGUACGCAUAUUCUCUCCGCCCCCGGAUGGAUUGAAGAUACCACCUUCACUUGGGAGUGAAGGCCAGAGAGGAGAAAACGUGAGGGGAUGCCUUCUGCCUAUCGGUGAGGUGCAGUUGUUUUCAAUAGCAUUAGCUGCUGUUGUACAAUGCAUUUUAAAUGUUUAAACUGCUAUAUAUGUGUCACAAAAUGGGGUAAACACUUGAAUAUCAUUUACAAACAACAAUAACAACAACAAAAAGAUUUAUCCUCAUGAUGUUCCAAAACCAAAUGCCAUUCUUUCUUCUGUGAAACACACACAAAAAGAAAGUUUAAAUAUGAUAUACUGGAAACUCUUUUCCAUGCAAUUGCUUUGAAGCUUCAAAAGUAUGUAAAUGCAUAAUAAAGAAUCAUAAGAUGUGUUACA
Long non-coding RNA from Cyprinus carpio (common carp), 1585 nucleotides. NCBI's taxonomy places the organism in Eukaryota, Metazoa, Chordata, Actinopteri, Cypriniformes, Cyprinidae. The record is from Ensembl.